Molecule: ribosomal RNA, 430 nt
Filed under: uncultured bacterium
Lineage: Bacteria
Description: bacterial SSU rRNA
Rfam family: Bacterial small subunit ribosomal RNA
Source: RNAcentral
GGCCGCGGGAAUUCGAUUCAGGCCUAACACAUGCAAGUCGAACGAUGAAGCCGGAGCUUGCUCCGGUGGAUUAGUGGCGAACGGGUGAGUAACACGUGAGCAAUCUGCCCUUGACUCUGGGAUAACUGCGGGAAACUGUAGCUAAUACCGGAUACGACACCUUGGGGCAUCCCAGGGUGUGGAAAGAAUUUCGGUCAAGGAUGAGCUCGCGGCCUAUCAGCUAGUUGGUGAGGUAAUGGCUCACCAAGGCGACGACGGGUAGCCGGCCUGAGAGGGUGACCGGCCACACUGGAACUGAGACACGGUCCAGACUCCUACGGGAGGCAGCAGUGGGGAAUAUUGCACAAUGAGGGAAAGCCUGAUGCAGCAACGCCGCGUGAGGGAUUAAGACGGUCGGGUUGUAAACCUCUUUAGCAGGGAAGAAGCGAAA